RNAcentral lists this ribosomal RNA (590 nucleotides) under uncultured Burkholderia sp. Its description in RNAcentral is "bacterial SSU rRNA". It matches the Rfam family "Bacterial small subunit ribosomal RNA", at positions 418 to 1003 of the family's 1533-position model. Lineage: Bacteria; Pseudomonadati; Pseudomonadota; Betaproteobacteria; Burkholderiales; Burkholderiaceae. The record is from RNAcentral.
UCGGGUUGUAAAGCACUUUUGUCCGGAAAGAAAACUUCGGCCCUAAUACGGCGGGAGGAUGACGGUACCGGAAGAAUAAGCACCGGCUAACUACGUGCCAGCAGCGCGGUAAUCGUAGGGUGCGAGCGUUAAUCGGAAUUACUGGGCGUAAAGCGUGCGCAGGCGGUUCGUUAAGACAGAUGUGAAAUCCCCGGGCUUAACCUGGGAACUGCAUUUGUGACUGGCGAGCUAGAGUAUGGCAGAGGGGGGUAGAAUUCCACGUGUAGCAGUGAAAUGCGUAGAGAUGUGGAGGAAUACCGAUGGCGAAGGCAGCCCCCUGGGCCAAUACUGACGCUCAUGCACGAAAGCGUGGGGAGCAAACAGGAUUAGAUACCCUGGUAGUCCACGCCCUAAACGAUGUCAACUAGUUGUUGGGUCUUCAUUGACUUAGUAACGUAGCUAACGCGUGAAGUUGACCGCCUGGGGAGUACGGUCGCAAGAUUAAAACUCAAAGGAAUUGACGGGGACCCGCACAAGCGGUGGAUGAUGUGGAUUAAUUCGAUGCAACGCGAAAAACCUUACCUACCCUUGACAUGGUCGGAACCCUGCUG